Molecule: ribosomal RNA, 450 nt
Filed under: uncultured bacterium
Lineage: Bacteria
Description: partial 16S ribosomal RNA
Rfam family: Bacterial small subunit ribosomal RNA
Source: RNAcentral
GUGGGGAAUAUUGGACAAUGGGCGAAAGCCUGAUCCAGCCAUGCCGCGUGUGUGAAGAAGGUCUUCGGAUUGUAAAGCACUUUAAGUUGGGAGGAAGGGUAGUAACCUAAUACGUUGCUACUUUGACGUUACCGACAGAAUAAGCACCGGCUAACUUCGUGCCAGCAGCCGCGGUAAUACGAAGGGUGCAAGCGUUAAUCGGAAUUACUGGGCGUAAAGCGCGCGUAGGUGGUUCAGUAAGUUGGAAGUGAAAUCCCCGGGCUCAACCUGGGAACUGCUUUCAAAACUGGCGAGCUAGAGUAGGGCAGAGGGUGGUGGAAUUUCCUGUGUAGCGGUGAAAUGCGUAGAUAUAGGAAGGAACACCAGUGGCGAAGGCGACCACCUGGGCUCAUACUGACACUGAGGUGCGAAAGCGUGGGGAGCAAACAGGAUUAGAUACCCCGGUAGUCC